This 405-nucleotide ribosomal RNA is filed under the name uncultured bacterium. Its description in RNAcentral is "partial 16S ribosomal RNA". It matches the Rfam family "Bacterial small subunit ribosomal RNA", at positions 28 to 526 of the family's 1533-position model. The record is from RNAcentral.
GAUGAACGCUAGCUCCAGGCUUAACACAUGCAAGUCGAGGGACCGGCGCACGGGUGAGUAACACGUAUCCAACCUGCCCUUUACUCGGUGAUAGCCUUUCGAAAGAAAGAUUAAUACCCUAUAUAAAGGAUGGGGAUGCAUUUCAUUAGGUUGUUGGUGAGGUAACGGCCCACCAAGCCUUCGCUGGAUAGGGGUUGUGGGAGGAAGGUCACUCACAUUGGAACUGGGACCAGGUCCAAACUGCUACGGGAGGCAGCAGGGAGGAAAAUUGGUCAAUGGGCGUUAUCCUGAAACAGCCAAGUAGCGUGAAGGAUGAAGGCGUAUGGGUCGUAAACUUCUUUAUAUAAGGAUAGGUAUUAUAUGAAGAAGGACCGGCUAACUCCGUGCCAGCCGCCGCGGUAAUUC